This 425-nucleotide ribosomal RNA is filed under the name uncultured bacterium. RNAcentral's name for it is "bacterial SSU rRNA". It matches the Rfam family "Bacterial small subunit ribosomal RNA", at positions 354 to 796 of the family's 1533-position model. The record is from RNAcentral.
GUAGGGAAUCUUGCGCAAUGGGCGAAAGCCUGACGCAGCAACUCCGCGUGCGGGAAGAAGGCCUUCGGGUUGUAAACCGCUUUUAGCAGGAACGAAAAUGACGGUACCUGCAGAAUAAGGUGCGGCCAACUACGUGCCAGCAGCCGCGGUGACACGUAGGCACCAAGCGUUGUCCGGAUUUAUUGGGCGUAAAGAGCUCGUAGGCGGCUCAGUUAGUCGGGUGUGAAAACUCAGGGCUUAACCCUGAGACGCCACUCGAUACUGCUGGGCUAGAAUUCGGUAGGGGAGUGGGGAAUUCCUGGUGUAGCGGUGAAAUGCGCAGAUAUCAGGAGGAACACCGGUGGCGAAGGCGCCACUCUGGGCCGACAUUGACGCUGAGGAGCGAAAGCGUGGGUAGCAAACAGGAUUAGAUACCCCUGUAGUCC